Molecule: non-coding RNA, 26 nt
Filed under: Mus musculus (house mouse)
Lineage: Eukaryota; Metazoa; Chordata; Mammalia; Rodentia; Muridae
Source: RNAcentral
UAAGCUCUCUUCUGAUGGGACUUGGC